RNAcentral lists this ribosomal RNA (242 nucleotides) under Clostridioides difficile. RNAcentral describes it as "partial 23S ribosomal RNA". It matches the Rfam family "Bacterial large subunit ribosomal RNA", at positions 150 to 393 of the family's 2925-position model. Lineage: Bacteria; Bacillati; Bacillota; Clostridia; Peptostreptococcales; Peptostreptococcaceae. The record is from RNAcentral.
AUCAUUAAGUGAAUACAUAGCUUAAUGAGGGGAACUCAGGGAACUGAAACAUCUAAGUACCUGAAGGAAGAGAAAGAAAUUCGAUUCCGUAAGUAGCGGCGAGCGAACGCGGAUUAGCCCAAACCAAUAAAGUUUUCUUUAUUGGGGUUGCGGACAUAUCAUAACGAAGAGGGAUCGUAAUUGAAGAGGUUUGGAAAGACCCACCACAGAAGGUAAUAGUCCUGUAUGUUAAACGAGAAGAC